This 116-nucleotide ribosomal RNA is filed under the name Coddingtonia euryopoides. RNAcentral describes it as "partial 18S ribosomal RNA". It matches the Rfam family "Eukaryotic small subunit ribosomal RNA", at positions 1009 to 1123 of the family's 1831-position model. Lineage: Eukaryota; Metazoa; Arthropoda; Arachnida; Araneae; Theridiosomatidae. The record is from RNAcentral.
CAGAUACCGCCCUAGUUCUGACCGUAAACUAUGACAGCCAGCGAUCCGACACCGUUCCUCAAAUGACACGUCGGGAAACUUCCGGGAAACCACAAGCUUUUGGUUUCCGGGGGAAG